CAAAGGCAUGGUCCUGACCUUAUUAUCAGCUCUAGCCCAACUUACACAUGCAAGUAUCCGCACCCCCGUGAGUAUGCCCUCGACCCCCCGCCCGGGGGUCAGGAGCGAGCAUCAGGCACACAUCAUUAUAGCCCAAGACGCCCAGCCAAGCCACACCCCCAAGGGAAUUCAGCAGUGAUAAAUAUUAAGCCAUGAGUGAAAGCUCGACUCAGUCAGGGCUAACAGGGCCGGUAAAACUCGUGCCAGCUACCGCGGUUAUACGAGGAGGCCCCAGUAA
This 277-nucleotide ribosomal RNA is filed under the name Tanakia limbata (oily bitterling). Its description in RNAcentral is "partial 12S rRNA". The record is from RNAcentral. Lineage: Eukaryota; Metazoa; Chordata; Actinopteri; Cypriniformes; Acheilognathidae.